UCAUCGUCCUCCUUACUAUUCCAAGUUGAUGUUAUGUCGUCGCCUUAUAGAAUUUGUGAAUAUAUUAUGAUAAGACUGACUGCUAUGUGUUUGUUAUUUCGAAUAAUAGUGUCCCAUACUGUAGCUGAUUUGUUUUAUUAUCCUUAUUGGGCAGCUAUUGAAUGUUUAUUCACCAAAGUUUGAAACUGGUGGAAAGUUUUGGCCUGUGGUUCACGACGCGACAAUAGUUUUCUUAGUAUUGAUGCAUGUUAUAGCCAUUGGGAUAUUUGGUUUGAAGAAACUCCCUUUAGCUUCAAGCUUAACAAUUCCCCUUCCAAUUCUCACUCUGUUAUUCAAUGGUUAUUGCCGGAGACGUUUCUUACCUAGUUUCAAAGGUUUUCCAGCUGAGUGCUUGAUCAACAAGGAUAGACUUGAUCAGAACGAUCCCACGAUAUCUUCUUUCUACGAGAAACUAGCCACAGCCUACCAAGAUCCUGCUAUGGAGCGAGUCAGACGUUCGGAAGCCAGCGAAAGUAGCACAACUCCACUUCUGGCCAGUUAUCGAUGAAGUCAAAGUUUUGUUUUUUUUUCUCACCACAAGAUUGCAUUUGUAAGCAUAAUGUCUGUACACUUGCUGUGUAUAUGCUUAUCUUAUCAACUAAUUUCUGAAAAUACACAUUUCUUUGUCCUUUUAGUGUCUGUCUGUAAAAAACUGUGAUUUGCACCUCUCACUCUCUCCUGUUGAAACAUUUGGAGGCUCAAAUCACUUAUUAACAGCUAUGAAGAUUGUGCUGUAAAUUGUAUGGCUGCAUAGUGGAGUUUGUUUGUUUGUUUAUUUGAGUCAAUUAGUUGGGAUUAAAUAGUUGAUUGUAUAAUGGUGAAGAAGAAGACUGGUGGGAUUUUGAUGAAACUCCAUGUGGAGCAAUCAGAAUUGAUGGUUGACAUA
Molecule: non-coding RNA, 925 nt
Organism: Salvia hispanica
Lineage: Eukaryota; Viridiplantae; Streptophyta; Magnoliopsida; Lamiales; Lamiaceae
Source: RefSeq, a predicted model, not a curated record